This 253-nucleotide ribosomal RNA is filed under the name uncultured bacterium. Its description in RNAcentral is "partial 16S ribosomal RNA". It matches the Rfam family "Bacterial small subunit ribosomal RNA", at positions 524 to 776 of the family's 1533-position model. The record is from RNAcentral.
UACGAAGGGGGCUAGCGUUGUUCGGAUUUACUGGGCGUAAAGCGCACGUAGGCGGAUCGUUAAGGCGGGGGUGAAAUCCUGGAGCUCAACUCCAGAACUGCCUUCGAUACUGGCGAUCUUGAGUCCGGAAGAGGUGAGUGGAACUCCUAGUGUAGAGGUGGAAUUCGUAGAUAUUAGGAAGAACACCAGUGGCGAAGGCGGCUCACUGGUCCGGUACUGACGCUGAGGUGCGAAAGCGUGGGGAGCAAACAGG